This 68-nucleotide transfer RNA is filed under the name Aeromonas salmonicida. Its description in RNAcentral is "Pseudo tRNA". It matches the Rfam family "tRNA". Rfam says of the family: Transfer RNA (tRNA) molecules are approximately 80 nucleotides in length. Lineage: Bacteria; Pseudomonadati; Pseudomonadota; Gammaproteobacteria; Aeromonadales; Aeromonadaceae. The record is from RNAcentral. RNAcentral also lists the same sequence under 1 other name.
AGGUCGUUUAGCUCAGCUGGGAGAGCACCUCCCUUUGGUCGCUGGUUCGAAUCCAGCACGACCCACCA